Non-coding RNA from Pantherophis guttatus, 229 nucleotides. The record is from RefSeq and is a predicted model, not a curated record. NCBI's taxonomy places the organism in Eukaryota, Metazoa, Chordata, Lepidosauria, Squamata, Colubridae.
GGGAUGACAACUCAAACCAUUCUCCAUUAGCUUCUAGUCGACAUGUCCUCAACAAAUUUUGGGUUGAUUAACCGGGAGGUUGAAGAUAUAUUUCAGUCCUGCUGUUUUAAUGCCCGAGAGCAGAUGUUACUUAUGUCCCGGCUACAUCCAGAUUAUAUCAACUCCUGGUGGAAGACAGAACUGCAUCUAAGGGAGAGCUCAUUAAACAUAAUGCCACGUUUCAGGACAA